AAUUUAAACAAUGUUGCAUUUCACACAUUCAACAUCAAACAAGGCAAACCUAUUCAAAGGCACAGGACUCUCACACAACUAUUUUUUUAAGUAGUUUGUACUUACAUGUUAGGUAAUCCUUCACAUUUAAC
Etheostoma spectabile (orangethroat darter) is the source of this 131-nucleotide long non-coding RNA. RefSeq lists it as uncharacterized. The record is from RefSeq and is a predicted model, not a curated record. The transcript is spliced from 4 exons. Lineage: Eukaryota; Metazoa; Chordata; Actinopteri; Perciformes; Percidae.